This 743-nucleotide ribosomal RNA is filed under the name uncultured bacterium. RNAcentral's name for it is "bacterial SSU rRNA". It matches the Rfam family "Bacterial small subunit ribosomal RNA", at positions 76 to 811 of the family's 1533-position model. The record is from RNAcentral.
GUAGCAAUACGUUUGUAAAGCGGCGAACGGGUGAGGAAUACAUGGGUAACCUACCCUAGAGUGGGGAAUAACUGGCCGAAAGGUUAGCUAAUACCGCGUACGCUCCUUGGACUUCGGUUCAGGGAGGAAAGCGAUGCCGAGGGUAUCGCGCUCUUGGAUGGGCUCAUGUCCUAUCAGCUUGUUGGUGAGGUAACGGCUCACCAAGGCUUCGACGGGUAGCUGGUCUGAGAGGACGAUCAGCCACACUGGCACUGCGACACGGGCCAGACUCCUACGGGAGGCAGCAGUAAGGAAUAUUGCGCAAUGGGCGAAAGCCUGACGCAGCGACGCCGCGUGGGGGAUGAAGGUCUUCGGAUUGUAAACCCCUUUCGGGAGGGAAGAUGGAAUGGGGUAACCCAUUCGGACGGUACCUCCAGAAGCAGCCACGGCUAACUUCGUGCCAGCAGCCGCGGUAAUACGAAGGUGGCAAGCGUUAUUCGGAUUUACUGGGCGUACAGGGAGCGUAGGCGGUUCGGUAAGCCCUCUGUGAAAUCUUCAGGCUUAACCUGGAAAAGUCGGGGGGGACUGCUGGGCUAGAGGACGGGAGAGGAGCGCGGAAUUCCCGGUGUAGCGGUGAAAUGCGUAGAGAUCGGGAGGAAGGCCGGUGGCGAAGGCGGCUUCCUGGACUAAAACUGACACUGAGGCACGAAAGCGUGGGUAGCAAACAGGAUUAGAUACCCUGGUAGUCCACGCCCUAAACGAUG